Molecule: small RNA, 85 nt
Filed under: Eubacterium sp. 14-2
Lineage: Bacteria; Bacillati; Bacillota; Clostridia; Eubacteriales; Eubacteriaceae
Description: GA-cis RNA
Rfam family: GA-cis RNA
Source: Rfam by way of RNAcentral
AGUAGGAGAAAGGCAAACGCGAAGCGUUUCUCCCAUGCCUUUCGACGACCUGCCGCCGAAGGGAAGCGAGGGGGCGUUACCGCAG